Molecule: long non-coding RNA, 511 nt
Filed under: Homarus americanus (American lobster)
Lineage: Eukaryota; Metazoa; Arthropoda; Malacostraca; Decapoda; Nephropidae
Description: uncharacterized LOC121869770
Source: RNAcentral
UGAAGCUGGUCAAGGUGGCGUCUGGUUUAUUGUUGUUAAUGUGUGGACCUUCCUCCCUCCCUCGGGUGUACGGCUCCAAUUGGUUGUUACUGUAGUGUUAAGACAACUACCAUAUUGCUGCCUCGCUGAUCGUGGUUAAUGAAGUUCCUCUUGUCAUUCGUCGAGGACGGUGACGUGAAGAUGUAAGAUAUGGGCCACAAGACGAAGGUUUGUUUUGGUUAACGGGUCUCUUGCUGCACCACAUUGGAAACUUUCUGUUAUAACGUAAGAUACUGUGAUGUCACGUCUCAAGACCAAGUGUAACUAAGUAGAAGUUCACAAUGUCAAGCAGAGAUAAAAAGUUCUCCUGUGAGGAAUGUGGCAAACAGUUUGGCUUCAAGUCUACUCUUCAGAAACAUUUACUUGUACACAAUGGUGUGAAGGAGUUUGAAUGUGAGGAAUGUGGGAAAUGUUUCUCCCACAAGAGUACUCUCAAGAAACACAUUCUUGUACACAAUGGUGUGAAGGAGUU